Molecule: long non-coding RNA, 1772 nt
Organism: Harmonia axyridis
Lineage: Eukaryota; Metazoa; Arthropoda; Insecta; Coleoptera; Coccinellidae
Exons: 2
Source: RefSeq, a predicted model, not a curated record
ACUAUCGUUGCUAUGGAAGGAAAUAUUGAAUUGUGAAUUUUUUCAAGAAAAACUAUACGAAAAAUCUAAAAAGGUAGUGAAAUAUUCACUGACAUAAAGUUCACGAAACUCAUACCAAAAUGUUGUGAAUUGGAUAGCAGUGAACUGUGUGGAAUACUUUGUAGUCCAAAUAAUCAAUGGUGAAGAAGACUUUGAUUUUAAAUUCACCAAAGACAAAAACCAAUAAAGAGUUCGUUUUCACAAGUAUUGAAGAAGAAGAAAAGAAUAAUUUAAAGAGGAUAACAGAAUACAAGUCUUUACAGCAAUGCGAGUAUCCGGAGACCGGAAAACAUACUUCUUCUGACCUGCAGGCAGAGUCAUUAUACUAUACAACUAAUUGGAAAAACCCAUUUGAUGAACAGACAAUUUUUAAAUCCGGAAAAAGUACCUCCUCGAGCGGGACCCGAACCCGCAAUCUUCGGAUCACUAGUCUAGUGCUCUACCAAGCGAGCUACCGAGGAAGUUGAAAGUUCUAAACGGAUAUCGAGGAACCCCUGUCGGAAAGCCAUAAUAUAUUAUGCUAUUAUAAUUGAUUUCAGAUGUGACAAACCAAUUUUUCACAUUUGGUAAAAUCCCAUGUAUCAUUGUGAUAUACAUAUCUGAAAACAUAAGUUGAAUCCAAUUUCAUAUUAAUUCAAAUAAAGAAUGUUAACUGUGUUAUUUAUUAUAAUUUUGUUAAUUGAAAUUUAUUAAAUAUAUUAUUUUUUUCUUUAAAUUUUGCCCAAGGGUCAUAAAGGUUUCAGAUAAUGCACUGAAUAAUGAUUUUGGCAAAAUCAAAAUAUCAAACUGGUAUGACAUAAUAAUUUAAAUGUCAAUUUUCCAAUCAAUUGGCCGAUGACAAGUCAGCGAAAAGUUUUUUCUGAAAUUGUAUGCAUUUUAACAACGAAUCCAAAUUAAGUCUACUUCCAUCAGAGCAUUAAUGCUUUUUUUUAUCUUAAUUUUUAUUUCCGUAAGAUAAGUUUUCCGUCAACAACAUGUUGCCAUAAAUUAUCAAUUUUUAAUUAACGAAAUAAUUUUUUUGAAUAAAUUUUGAAGAAAUAAAAUUCUUUCACCUAAAAUCAAUAUCAAGAUCAAUUUUCGACAACUAGGGACCAAAACAAUAAAAAAUGUCUAGCAUUUUAUUCAAUAAGUAUUUGUACUACAUAUUUGUUGUAUUCCCAAAAAUAAUAAUUGAUUGAAAUAACAUAUGGGGACCUUAAGAGCCAUGCCAAUUCUUGGGAAUUGGUCUUUAUACCAUAGCAAGUGGCGGAUUUACCAGCAGGCUGUAUAGGCUGAAGCCUAUGGCGGCAAAUUUUGAGCGCCGGCAGAUUGAGUUUAUUAAUUUUUAUUUUGAUUCACAGAAUAAAAAAAAACUACACACUAAGUACGAAUUUCGAAAAUUGGAGAUUAGCCUGUAGGCUAACUUUUGCCACAUCUCUGAAGCCUACAGACUAAGUGUAAUCUGUAAAUCUGCCACUGUCUACAUGGCAUGAAAUUAUAGGAAAAAUCGAAAAUGAGUAAAAAAAUACUUUCUUGUCAUCAGUUACUACAUUAUGAAGUAGAAAGCGUAGACAUCACAGAACACAUAAUGAGAUAAACCAAGUCAAAAUCAUGAGUUGGACACAUUUUUUCAGUAGAUGAGUAAACAUUUUUUUUUGAAAAUUGUUGUUGAAAAACUCAAAUCAAAUUAAGUUAUUAGUUUCCACUAUCUACCUAGUUUAAGAAAUGAAGAAUAUUAAAACAUAAGAUUUGAA